GGUAUUCCUCUUGAGAUAAGAAUCUAUCAAUCAAUUACUCAUAAUGAUGCUACAUUGAAGGGCACCACUUGGGUAUACGUCUUAAAAAAUCUCCCUUCACACACACAGAUACACACACAAUUAUAUUGCCAGGCGGUACCGGUGAACUCACCUGCCAAUGCAGGAGAUACAGGAGAUGUGGAUUUGAUUCCUGGGUCAGGAAGAUCCCCUGUAGAAGGAAAUGGCAACCCACUCCAGUAUUCUUGCCUGGGAAAUCCCAUGGACAGAGGAGACUGGUGGGCUACAGUCCAUGGGAUUACAAAAGAGUUGGACACGACUGAAGCAAUUUAGCAUUUAUGUGACUAACUUUUAAACAAUUAUUUAAGAAUCUUUUUCUCUUUCCUGUGAUCAGUGUGAAUAUUAAAAACCCACAUUCUCACUCAUCAGAAUAUUCUGAGGUAAUAUUUUCUUUUUCUUGAAUAGUUGUCUAUAACCAACUCCUAAUAAGCCUGCAUUGUGUUCUUCCAUUUUACAUACUGUUAGCUAAACAGUUCUCUUCCUCAUAUGUCAAUUCAAUUUCACCUUCUUUUGGUGUCACUCAGAAAAGUUAUAAUCAUUAAAACAUCAGCUCUCAGGGAUCAGAUUUCUGGAAAAAAAAUGUGUGUGCCAGUGGUUUGAAUUGACAUUAUAGUGAUACCACACUUACCUUAGGAAAGGAAUACACAUGGAAUCAAUGUGGUCUAUCAUGCAAAGUAUUUAUACAUAUACAAUAUGAAAUUCAAGGUCACAACUGGUAAGAAUGCCCAGUCUGUGAAAUAGUAUCUUACCCAUCUUUGUAUGACCCAUUCACAAUCAUAGAACAAACACAUGCAAUAUAAAUCAAAAAGUGAAACAAUUUAAGAUAACCAGAGAGAUGCAAAGUUAUUUCAGUUUAGAGUGAAGCUAAUAUGCCCCAUACUCAAAAGUCCCACGUUAAAUGUAAAAUUGUGCUGAUAUUCUAGAGUCAGAAAUGGUUUUCCCUGUUUCUUUCAUAGGACUAAUCUCUCAAUUUCAUUAUUAUAUAUUUGCUCUUUUAAUUCAAACUCCUCAAAAGAACCUAUGCUUCCCUGAGGUGUCACUCCAAAGCACAAUCUAUUGCACGUCUAAACCCUGGAACAUAGUAAUUCUUUAGCCAUAUGGCUUUUAGUAUCUGAAAUGAGAUCCCAGGAGUGAAAUUCCUUGUAAUCAAGAUCAGUUUCCUUCUCAAACUUUAGGUAUAAUAAGAUUUGAACUUCAACUGAUGGAAGUAAAUGCAAUUGUGAGAAAAUGAAUUUUUUUCAAAUAGUGAGAAAUUCCCUAUCAAAUAAAAUCCCAUAGGAAUCCCUAAACUCA
Molecule: long non-coding RNA, 1350 nt
Filed under: Bos indicus x Bos taurus (hybrid cattle)
Lineage: Eukaryota; Metazoa; Chordata; Mammalia; Artiodactyla; Bovidae
Description: lncRNA (ENSBIXG00005030904.1)
Source: RNAcentral